GAAUUUAACUUCAUAAAAUACAAGUUAUACUGAAUCUUUUCCCAAAAAAUUAUAUAGAUCAAUCUGCUCAGCUUCUUACGCUCUACAAUAUGCUGCCUGCAGCUCAAACACCAUGUUCAAUGUGGGCACACAACCCACUGUCUCAUCUAUCUAUUCAAUUUCAGAGAACAUUUGGUAAUGUUUCUUUGAUACACAACCCACUAUUCAUCCAACAGUGAAUAACCUGGUGGCUUUCAUUUUUGUUUGCCAAUAAUAUAUGUGAUUGACUUCUGGCUCAAAUUGCCUAUACUAUAUUCAGGACAUAUGACAUACUAGUCAUGAAUUUUACCAUUCCUAAGUAUAUCAACAACAUGCCCCAUCCCAUGCCCAUUGCAAGAAAACCCACCUGAGUUAUUGAAUGGAACAGUCAUAGAAAGUGCUUUCUGACAGAGCAUACAAUAGAGCAUAUGUGUCCUGAUGAAGACAUCCUGUAAACAGU
Molecule: long non-coding RNA, 478 nt
Organism: Bufo bufo (common toad)
Lineage: Eukaryota; Metazoa; Chordata; Amphibia; Anura; Bufonidae
Exons: 3
Source: RefSeq, a predicted model, not a curated record